This 1735-nucleotide long non-coding RNA is filed under the name Gigantopelta aegis. Its description in RNAcentral is "uncharacterized LOC121381038". The record is from RNAcentral. Lineage: Eukaryota; Metazoa; Mollusca; Gastropoda; Neomphalida; Peltospiridae.
UUUGGUGACCAAGUAACAUUAAAUUCUAAGUAUAAUUAUACUUUUUGAUCACUUCAUCAAUGAAUAUUAAGUACUGUUAAAAAUGGUAAAGAAUUAAUUAUUUGUAAAAGAUACUAAAGUGUAAAGUAGAUGAGAUUAGCAUAUUUAAUACAGGGAACAUUUGUAUAGCAUCACGAUCGACUCUGCAAGUUUCAGAUAUAUAGCUAUACAAUGCUAAAACAUUAAAUAGUAGUUGCUAAUCAAUUCUUAAAUUGAUAGCACUGUCACUAAUAAACAGUUUAAAAACAAAAUGUUCUCUGUAAUAAUUUUUUUUUCUUUCUAAUCAAUAUUACAGUUGCGAAUACUUCCACAUCAGCUAAGGACUAACAGAUGAUCCCACAAUGACACGUUCUGAUCUAAGAAGUACACUUAAUAUUAGAUUAUGACAGUGAAAUUUGUAGUCUCUGUGCAUCUAUGGAGAAACCUGAAUUGGAAACGGAGUGGGAGAGUACACGUGGUUAUGAGACAACUUUCAGUAGAUUCAAUUAUACUUCAAGCUUGAUGCUGUUAUGUUUUCUGUUUCCAACUGUGACAGAACCUGGAACAGAAAUGAAGUGUGUGACAAUAAUUCAUCGACAAAUUUAGACUAAUACUCUUUCAUGGAUGCUACAUUUGGUAGAUCUAGCCAUAAUUUUUUUAUUAUAAUUCAAAGUGGUAUAUAGUUAUAUUUAUAAUAAUUCAUUGUUUGAAUUUGUUUUUAUAAAGCACUUUAUUGAACCAAAAUAAUCAUAGCUGCAUUUAGUAAAUUAUUUAGCACACAUGUGUGACUGCUGUCUCAUGCCUUAAGUGUUUCAGCUGCUAAAAUAUGUUUUGGGGAUAUUAUUUCUGGAUAGAAAUUUACCUUUCUGAUAUUGUACGAGUGUUUGGACAUUCCUUUCAAAGGUGAAAUAUGGCUACUUACAUUGCUUUGUUUUUAAUAAUGAUAUUGAAGGUGUAAAGUAUGUAAAUAUUUAUGUAAGAAAUUGAUUAAACAUAUUGGUCAAUUAUUGUCAUUCGUCAUGUGAUAAGUUUUUACUGGUUUGAGUUAAAAGACUAGUACAUAUGAUAAUUUUUAUUGCAUCUUUUAUUGAAAUCUUCAAGUAUUCAAUAUUAUUAUGAGUCUAGGUAAAUAUAUAUAUAUAUAUAUAUAUAUAUAUAUAUAUAUAUAUAUAUAUAUAUAUAUUUUAAAUAUUUUGAAACAAGAAGCUUAUUUUUUAUGUAACGUGUAUCCACUUUCCAUCUGCGAUCUAAACCUUUAUGUUUUCCUUUUUAUUAUUGGUCUAGAUGUACAUUAUUGUAUAAGCGUAAAUAAAUGUGAACUGAAAAUGUUAUUCUGAUGUAACAUUUGCAUCAAUUAUUAUGUCAUUAAAUUACGUAUUCCAAGAUUUCUGUGUGUUUUUGUCAUUUUGGAGCGGUUUCGAACCUACCCCAAGAAUACAUAUGUUAUCAGAAAUAAUAGUAACCCUUUAUAUUUUCACUUGAAAUUUUCAGAGAUGCAACAUUGAUAACUGCUUGUAACAUCUAUAAGCUUACAACAGAAAUUUCUCUGUUAUUUUUUGGUUUACAAAAGUGGACGUAAAUGACAAUUAAAAUCGUCAUGUCGGCCAUGUUUGGUCACAGAAGUACAAGGCUACUACGACUUUAUUUUGCUUCAUUUGGAUAAUAUAGUGAUGUUUUUUCAAUAAGAGCAACAUAUUUAAUGAAACUAUGACCAUAA